GAUCGAGGAUUAAAAAUGGGCCAAUGAAUCGAGGAUUGAGCUUUUCUCUCUUUCCAAAUCUCGUAACUCCUUUCCAUGGAGCAACACGUAACAACACAUGAUCUCCAAUAUCGAAUUCCACGUCCUUUCGAUGAAGAUCAGCAUAACUCUUUAGUCGAUCUUGUGAGGUUUUUAUACAUUGUCGGAUCGUUUAAAUCUAUUCUGUAGUCAUACGUACCAACUCUGAUCCCAACAACGUUGCUUCACCCAUCUCAUCCCAGCAUAUUGGAGAACGAAACUUUCUUCCAUACAACGCCUCAAAUGGAGC
This 307-nucleotide long non-coding RNA is filed under the name Panax ginseng (ginseng). RNAcentral describes it as "long non-coding RNA (PGIN_LNC015624)". The record is from RNAcentral. Lineage: Eukaryota; Viridiplantae; Streptophyta; Magnoliopsida; Apiales; Araliaceae.